AACGAACGCUGGCGGCAUGCCUAACACAUGCAAGUCGAACGAGACCUUCGGGUCUAGUGGCGCACGGGUGCGUAACGCGUGGGAACCUGCCCUUAGGUUCGGAAUAACUCCCCGAAAGGGGUGCUAAUACCGGAUAAUGUCUUCGGACCAAAGAUUUAUCGCCUUUGGAUGGGCCCGCGUUGGAUUAGCUAGUUGGCAGGGUAAAAGCCUACCAAGGCGACGAUCCAUAGCUGGUCUGAGAGGAUGAUCAGCCACACUGGGACUGAGACACGGCCCAGACUCCUACGGGAGGCAGCAGUGGGGAAUAUUGGACAAUGGGCGAAAGCCUGAUCCAGCAAUACCGCGUGAGUGAUGAAGGCCUUAGGGUUGUAAAGCUCUUUUACCCGGGAUGAUAAUGACAGUACCGGGAGAAUAAGCUCCGGCUAACUCCGUG
This 433-nucleotide ribosomal RNA is filed under the name uncultured bacterium. Its description in RNAcentral is "partial 16S ribosomal RNA". It matches the Rfam family "Bacterial small subunit ribosomal RNA", at positions 29 to 507 of the family's 1533-position model. The record is from RNAcentral.